UUCCUGAUGGCUCAGUCAGUAAAGAAUCUGCCUGCAAUGCAGGAGACCCAGGUUGACCCCUGGGUUGGGAAA
RNAcentral lists this transfer RNA (72 nucleotides) under Capra hircus (goat). It matches the Rfam family "tRNA". From Rfam's summary of the family: Transfer RNA (tRNA) molecules are approximately 80 nucleotides in length. Their secondary structure includes four short double-helical elements and three loops (D, anti-codon, and T loops). The record is from Rfam by way of RNAcentral. Lineage: Eukaryota; Metazoa; Chordata; Mammalia; Artiodactyla; Bovidae. RNAcentral also lists the same sequence under 1 other name.